GCCGACUCCCAAUUCUGCCGACAUAGCGAGAGAGAGAGGGGGAGAGAAAGGGAGGAGGAGGUCACGGCUAAGGGGAGGGAGGAAGGAGAGGUCCGGUUUCGACGAUCCAACUCGGUGACAAGUAACGAGCCGGUCUUUUAGGAGGUGCCGAAACCGUAAGUUUGGCAUACUCCAGUCGAAUGAAAGGUGAGUGUGUCUGAUAUGGUUCUUCUCAAUAAGAUAUUGCUAUGGUGGUAUGUAUAUAUCUUGCUAAUGGUAUUUUAGCUUUCAAUAUGAUUAUCGAUAUGUAAAUAAUGCGGUGGAGGUGAUUAUAUAUCAAUGAUAUCAUGCUAAUCGAGGUUUAGCUAUUGAUAUGGAUAUAUGUGGUCGAAAUUGUAUAUCAUGCUAUAUAUUGUUUAGCUAAUGGUAUGCAUGCUUGUUGUAUGUUGAUUGUACCCGCGAAAGGAUUGUGGAGUGAGUCACACCAUAUCGUGGGCCAUGUCGUCUAAUUAACGGUGAAUGGGAGUGUGGUGUGCGGGACACAAUUCCUUGGGUACAUGGGAUGUGGCAGACGUGCCACUGUAUGUUGGUGUUUAUACAUGUGGUUAUACGAUUGAGUACCUAUGUUGAGUUUUGUGUGAUUUACAUUCAUGCCGUUAUUGUUAUGUGGUUGUUUAUUGAAUAAUAUUGCUAUGUUUGGAGAAUGUGGUGGUUAUGAUUAUUGAUAUUCUUUUGGGUAUCGUGACAUUUUAUUGAGCAUUUCUAUAUCUCACACACUCUGGUUUUCCUUUUUGGACUGCCAGGUAGCAGGUGGCUUAGAGUGGGUCCACUACUGGUCAACGCUUUGGAGAGUGCUAGACUAGCGUCGGGUGAUGUCUUUGGUUAGAUUGUUGCGUAGCUGAUUCGUCUAGAAGCUAACCUAAAAGUUAUGUAAUUAAUUGGAGAGAGGGAUAUUUAUUAUAACUUGAGAGUUGAGGUUUUGGGCGUUGACUUGGUUGUAUUUUAAGUGAGAAGUCUUCCGCUAAUUUGUAUUCUGAUUGGUUGUAGAGUGUGGUGUGGUCUAUUGUGUGGAAUGCCACGUGGCCGCGCUGACUCGGGCCCACUCUGGGUGCCGUUUGCGGGGCGGGGCGUGACAGCUUGGUAUCAGAGCUAGUACUUUCUAGACUCUGUGUUGAGAGUUGGUUGGGGGUUGGUAGUGGACCAUAGGAGUUGAGUUUGUCGAGUAGCGGUUAGGGAUUUAACUAACGUGUGAGUUAUAUCCAUAACCAUUGUGUUUGAUGUUGAUUGUUGAAACAGGUUUUUUCUGAUAAACGGAUUUGAAUCAUACGGUAUGUGUUGAGGAUGUUAUAUUUGGUGACGGUGUGGGAUGAACAACGGAUGUAGUUGACAAUGUGUUGUAGUUGUGGCACAAUUCACAUGAAUGCAGGGUUUUGAUAUGGCUCGAUUCAUGGGGUAGCAGAUGGUUGUGGUUCAUUGGCAGUUUGCACAGGGUUCAGGUACGUGUUUGCUUGAAAGGUUUAAAGUGAUUUUCCUUGUACGGUUUGAGUGGGGUUAGUAUCCCUUUCAUUGCAGGAGGAUGUGUGAGAUUUGUGGUACUAGAACUAAAUGUUUUGAGCAUAGUGUCGGCGGUAUCGUAGGUGGUGGUGUCGGGGGGGUUUUGACAAGAGUUGUAUCUGUUGGGGUUGUUUGAUGAUUAUGGGGUGAUCAUGUUUGUGGAAAUUUUUGUGUUAAGGUUUAUUUAGGGUAGUGAUGUGCUUGUGGCAUAUGAUUUGGGUUGAGGGGAGAAUGAUUUAAGGUUGUGUGGUGUGUGAGUCCUAUGACAGUGCGAGUAGUUGAUGAGGUGAAUACGUGGAUGUUAUAAGUUUUGGAGAGCUUAGUUUUAGUGGAUUUUAAGUUGUUGAGCUUGUAUGAGAGAAUAACAUAAUAGUUUGGAGUUUUGUGGGAAUGGUUUUGUUCAUUCCGUGAACUGGAAUAUGGUUAUGAUAGUCUAUGAGGGGAUAGUUGUGGGUGAGUGUUUCUAUGUUGUGGUUAUCAGUGUGGAUGAGUUAAGAGGGAAAUAGAUUAAAUGUGUUGUUAAGGUUAUAGUCUGGUGGGAGGUAAGGUUUGGGAAGCAGAGCGUGAGCUAGUAAGCGGUUGGUAAGUGGUUGUGUAACAUUGACACGUUAGUGUUUAAAUUAUGGAUUAAAAGAUUAUUCUGUUGGUGAGUGUCCUAUUGGAACUUUGGAUUUUGUGGAAAGUUUAUCAUUUCAAUGUGAACUAGUGGUUUUACUUAGGUUGUAGUGGGUUAGUUAACGAGGUCAACACAUCUUUUACCAGUUGAGGUUACUUAUACUACGGAUAAGUGUGCAAAAUUGUAUAUUGAUGGUAUUGUUUGGUGCACAGGGUGCAUGUGUACUGCGGAGUUGAGUAUAACAACGGUUACUAGGGUUGGAGGUUGGUGAGAGGCAGAGAGAUGGUGAGGGUGAUGGUGAUGGCAGUGAAGGUGAUAGUGGUAAUGACGAGGAUGAUUGUGAGGAUAGUGAGAAUGGUAGUGAUAGUGCUGAGGAGAGUAAGGAGCAAAGGUUUCAAGUUUAGUGAGAGUUAGAGUUUUGAGAAAUCCAAAGAGGGUUCAGAGGAGACGAGAUAGGAGUACAGGCAGUGGUUAGUGGCGGUGAAUGUCGAUACGUUCGUUGUGGUCGAUGGAGCAAUUGGUCAGAGAGGGUUCGGGGUGUUGAAAAGUAUACAGGGUUACUGUGUGGCGAGUUUGGGCACAAAGCGGCACAGUGUUCAAGGGUGCAGGAGCCGGCGAUGGAUUCGUUCGAAUAGGUGCCAGGUAUUUUUAAGUUUUGUUAAUGAGUUGUGGGUAGAGUAAUUUUUGAGGAUUCUUGUGUGUGGGGUUGGGAUAACUUAUGGGUGAGUUGGGUGUGCAUUUUCGUUUAAGAUACUGUGCUUGUGUGAGGAGUUGUUGAGAAUUUUCGUGCCCUUGUGUAAAGGUAAAGUGUGAGGGAAUGGAGAGAAUAUAAAUGUAUCUUGAUGAUAGGAUACCAUGCUAGAGUGUGAGUGAGUGUUUUGUGUAUAUCUAUGUGGAUAAUAUAUAUAUCUUGUUGAGUAGAGGAUGUAUAUGUAUGCGUAGUGUGUGUGUGUGUCCUUAAGUGUUACGCCAAGAUUUUUGGACUUGUUUGAAAUCCAGUUGGAACCGCGUCUGCGCAACGUAGUUUCCGGCGGGAGGUCUAACAUUGUCUCUAGAUUGGGUGGUGGCUCUUUGGGACGGUGUUGUGUGUAGGUGGGGUAUUUAUGUUUUAAUUUUAUGGGUACCGUGUUGUGUGCUAGUUGUUGUCGAGAGAAGUGAUUGAUAGGGCUGGUGCGAAUUAUGAAUUGUCCUUGCUAAGGAAGUUACUGGUGUUGGGAUAUGUUGAGCUUUAACGAGAGUUGGAGAUUUGUUUUUGGUGGUGUUAUUGAGUUUGAGGUUGGGUGUUGUGUGGUUACUGAGUAAUUUUGAGUGUAUGCAUGUUUGAGGUUAUUUUCUUUGAGGUAAGAUUUGGGUAGAGGUUGGAUUUAUUCUUUUUGAAGUUUGGUUUUUGUCUACAGGUGGAUGAGUUGUGUAAGUUGGUGAAGGUGUUUGUUUUGAGGAUGGUGUUGGUAACAUUGUGAGGUUGGUUGUUGUUGAUUUUGUGGCGAGUGCUAUUUCGGGGACGAAAUAUUCCAAGUGGGGGAGAGUUGUAACACCCAUCUCGGGAUAUUUAGAGUUUCAAUUUAAUUUUGAGGUUUGGGGUUUAAUUUGUAUUUGUUGGAUUCUAUGAGGGGCCUUGGUGUGAUUUACAUGGAGAAUUGUUAUUGGUUUGGAGUAUAAGUUGAGAGGAGAGGUGACCACAUAGGAUUUCUUCCUAAGUGACUAAAUAGCCAUCAGAUUCUUCCCAAUUCUGCCGACUCCCAAUUCUGCCGACAUAGCGAGAGAGAGAGGGGGAGAGAAAGGGAGGAGGAGGUCACGGCUAAGGGGAGGGAGGAAGGAGAGGUCCGGUUUCGACGAUCCAACUCGGUGACAAGUAAGUUCUUGUACUCUAGAAGUGUAAUCCAUGUUUAAUUUCAUGUUUGUGUGGCUAGAUUCUCCAUGGAUUGAGUUUUGAAAGGAAAUCGACAAAGUUCAUGUUUUGGGUCAAAUUCGUGGGUUUUGGUAAUCUGUCUUUUGGGGGCCCUUUUGCUAGGAAUCAAUUUUUGGUGUCUUCAUAACUGUCAAAGUACGUUUCAAUACGAAGAUUUCGGUACCAAGAUCAUGCAAAACCGAUAAUCACACAAUUAGUUAUGAAUCUUUGAAUACUGGCUGUUUGCUGGAUGUGCGAUUCUGUGCGUGGCUGUCUUCUUUUAACUUUCUGGGCAUGAUGAACAUUUUGGGUGGCUUUGGGUCUUUUAUAGGAGCUGCAUAUUUAAGUUAAGAAGAGAUUGGCGUUGGAAUCAAGUAAUUUGGUUUAGUAUACAAUUUUUGGUGAAUUUCUAAAGCAGGGUUGGUUGACUGGGGCGAAAAUGGUUGCAAAUCGGUUUUUCUUUUGAUUGUUGGGUUAACCUCCUCUCGUUUCUGAACCUGGGAUUUUAACUGAGUGCAGGGCUUGUAGUGGUGCAACUUUUGGUGUUGGUUUCAAUACUUUUGGGUUUAAGAUGAAAGAGUUAUGAUUUUUCAAUCAAUUUUACUUAUUCCCGCGUAGAAUCUGACAGCACCGACGGACUUUGGUAUAAUGGCCAUAACUCCUAGCUCGGGACUCGAAAUGACACACCGUUUGUUUUGUUAGAAACUAGACACAUAGAGCUUUCCAACGAUACGUCCCAUGCAUCAUGGGUAUGUCCGAGCGAUAACAGAUUUGCAUUUAAAGUUGACCUAAAUUCUGCCUUUGCACCAGUUUUUACUGUUAUGUUGAAGCUAUAAUCGUAAGGCCGUAGUUAGGUUACCCGAACUCUGUUUUUGAUGUAUGACCUAUGGAUUCAAAGAAGAAGAAGUCUACUUUUCAAUGGUUUAAGUGUCGCCCUGGAAUUCAUGUUGUUUAAUUAGAUAUGGCCAAAAUAAGACAGGCUGGUUGUGGUUGUCGUUCCUGUUUUGGGAGUUUUGUUGCGUUGGUCUGUUUGGUUGAGAUUGUACAGUUGUGGGUCUUUAUAUUUGAUAUUUUUGGGUGUGUUGGAGUACCUUGGAGUAUGGAAAAGAUGUGUGAGGUCUCCCGGGUACGUGGGUACUCCCGGACACCUCUAGAGAUUUUGGUGACUUUGUGUAAUGUUUGCCCCAUUAGCUAGUGUAGAAGGCAUGUUAUGAUUUGUUAGUCUAGCUUUUGGUUUAACAUUCCUAGAUGUUCAUAUGCUAAUAUGGGUUAACUUGUGGCUAGGUAACGAGCCGGUCUUUUAGGAGGUGCCGAAACCGUAAGUUUGGCAUACUCCAGUCGAAUGAAAGGUGAGUGUGUCUGAUAUGGUUCUUCUCAAUAAGAUAUUGCUAUGGUGGUAGCAGGUGGCUUAGAGUGGGUCCACUACUGGUCAACGCUUUGGAGAGUGCUAGACUAGCGUCGGGUGAUGUCUUUGGUUAGAUUGUUGCGUAGCUGAUUCGUCUAGAAGCUAACCUAAAAGUUAUGUAAUUAAUUGGAGAGAGGGAUAUUUAUUAUAACUUGAGAGUUGAGGUUUUGGGCGUUGACUUGGUUGUAUUUUAAGUGAGAAGUCUUCCGCUAA
Long non-coding RNA from Rhododendron vialii, 5655 nucleotides. RefSeq lists it as uncharacterized. Lineage: Eukaryota; Viridiplantae; Streptophyta; Magnoliopsida; Ericales; Ericaceae. The record is from RefSeq and is a predicted model, not a curated record. The transcript is spliced from 3 exons.